RNAcentral lists this signal recognition particle RNA (299 nucleotides) under Carassius auratus (goldfish). RNAcentral's name for it is "Metazoan signal recognition particle RNA (ENSCARG00000030713.1)". It matches the Rfam family "Metazoan signal recognition particle RNA". From Rfam's summary of the family: The signal recognition particle (SRP) is a universally conserved ribonucleoprotein. It is involved in the co-translational targeting of proteins to membranes. Lineage: Eukaryota; Metazoa; Chordata; Actinopteri; Cypriniformes; Cyprinidae. The record is from Rfam by way of RNAcentral.
GUCGGGUGCAGUGGCGUGUGCCUGUAAUCCAAGCUGCUGGGAGACUGAGGCUGGCGGAUCGCUUGAGUUCAGGGGUUCUGGGCUGCAGUGGACUAUGUUGAUCAGGUGUCCACACUAAGUUCGGUAUCGAUAUGGUGUUCCUUGGGGAGCUCGGGACCACCAGGUCGUCUAAGGAGGGGUGAACCGGCCCAGGUUGGAGACGGAGCAGGUCAAAGCCCCCGUGUCGAUCAGUAGUGGGAUCGCGCUUGUGAAUAGACACUGCAGUGCAGCCUGAGUGAUACAGUGAGACCCAGACUUUU